Molecule: long non-coding RNA, 635 nt
Filed under: Olea europaea subsp. europaea
Lineage: Eukaryota; Viridiplantae; Streptophyta; Magnoliopsida; Lamiales; Oleaceae
Source: RNAcentral
CACAAAUUCAGAAGACAACUAUCUGGUAUUCAAAAAGAAAAAGUUACUUCCAUAAUCAAGAAAUGUAAUAGAAUUGUUGGGAGAUAUACAAAAUGUGUUUCAUCCUAUCACAUAUCAAUCUACUUUCAUCUCUUACACGACGCUAAGAGCAGGAUGUAACUGCAACGCAUUGUUCAGCCAUGCAUCCACAGAAGGGUGACCUGUAAAAAAAGGGUACCACCAUAUAGGCCCAGCUGGCUAUUCACGCCCAGCACAUUAUAGAACCCUUACAAGAUUCUUACAAAGGGGUGGGGUAGGAAUUUUUUUUUUCAUUUUUUAUUACAUUGGAGUCCACGUGGGACCGACCCCAUGUGAGGGGUCGGUAAAACCUCUGUAAAAACAAGCUCUGUACACAGAGCUUUAGCCAUUCCCACUGUGAGGAAGCCAACUUGGCAACAGUUACCUCAUCCUCUUAACCUCUUAAAUCUAUUUUUCAUGUUAAUACUCAACCAAACUAUAGUUGUUAUGAUCAAAUUAUUUGCAUGAACAAUAAACCCCAAAUCUGAAUAAAAAAUGAAUUUCAUAAGAAGAAUCACUAUAGCAUAAAUCAUUCAUCAAGACAAAUUUUUAAGAGGGACAACUUUNUUGUUCUUCAU